Molecule: ribosomal RNA, 1372 nt
Filed under: uncultured bacterium
Lineage: Bacteria
Description: bacterial SSU rRNA
Rfam family: Bacterial small subunit ribosomal RNA
Source: RNAcentral
GAUGAACGCUGGCGGCGUGCCUAAUACAUGCAAGUCGAGCGAACGGACGAGAAGCUUGCUUCUCUGAUGUUAGCGGCGGACGGGUGAGUAACACGUGGAUAACCUACCUAUAAGACUGGGAUAACUUCGGGAAACCGGAGCUAAUACCGGAUAAUAUUUUGAACCGCAUGGUUCAAAAGUGAAAGACGGUCUUGCUGUCACUUAUAGAUGGAUCCGCGCUGCAUUAGCUAGUUGGUAAGGUAACGGCUUACCAAGGCAACGAUGCAUAGCCGACCUGAGAGGGUGAUCGGCCACACUGGAACUGAGACACGGUCCAGACUCCUACGGGAGGCAGCAGUAGGGAAUCUUCCGCAAUGGGCGAAAGCCUGACGGAGCAACGCCGCGUGAGUGAUGAAGGUCUUCGGAUCGUAAAACUCUGUUAUUAGGGAAGAACAUAUGUGUAAGUAACUGUGCACAUCUUGACGGUACCUAAUCAGAAAGCCACGGCUAACUACGUGCCAGCAGCCGCGGUAAUACGUAGGUGGCAAGCGUUAUCCGGAAUUAUUGGGCGUAAAGCGCGCGUAGGCGGUUUUUUAAGUCUGAUGUGAAAGCCCACGGCUCAACCGUGGAGGGCCAUUGGAAACUGGAAAACUUGAGUGCAGAAGAGGAAAGUGGAAUUCCAUGUGUAGCGGUGAAAUGCGCAGAGAUAUGGAGGAACACCAGUGGCGAAGGCGACUUUCUGGUCUGUAACUGACGCUGAUGUGCGAAAGCGUGGGGAUCAAACAGGAUUAGAUACCCUGGUAGUCCACGCCGUAAACGAUGAGUGCUAAGUGUUAGGGGGUUUCCGCCCCUCAGUGCUGCAGCUAACGCAUUAAGCACUCCGCCUGGGGAGUACGACCGCAAGGUUGAAACUCAAAGGAAUUGACGGGGACCCGCGCAAGCGGUGGAGCAUGUGGUUUAAUUCGAAGCAACGCGAAGAACCUUACCAAAUCUUGACAUCCUUUGACAACUCUAGAGAUAGAGCCUUCCCCUUCGGGGGACAAAGUGACAGGUGGUGCAUGGUUGUCGUCAGCUCGUGUCGUGAGAUGUUGGGUUAAGUCCCGCAACGAGCGCAACCCUUAAGCUUAGUUGCCAUCAUUAAGUUGGGCACUCUAAGUUGACUGCCGGUGACAAACCGGAGGAAGGUGGGGAUGACGUCAAAUCAUCAUGCCCCUUAUGAUUUGGGCUACACACGUGCUACAAUGGACAAUACAAAGGGCAGCGAAACCGCGAGGUCAAGCAAAUCCCAUAAAGUUGUUCUCAGUUCGGAUUGUAGUCUGCAACUCGACUACAUGAAGCUGGAAUCGCUAGUAAUCGUAGAUCAGCAUGCUACGGUGAAUACGUUCCCGGGUCU